This 108-nucleotide ribosomal RNA is filed under the name uncultured bacterium. RNAcentral describes it as "partial 16S ribosomal RNA". It matches the Rfam family "Bacterial small subunit ribosomal RNA", at positions 1375 to 1482 of the family's 1533-position model. The record is from RNAcentral.
CGGGCCUUGUACACACCGCCCGUCACAUCAUGGGAGUUGGUUUUACCCGAAGUCACUGACCCGACCGGAAGGAGGGAGGUGCCUAAGGUAAGGCCGAUGACUGGGAUG